UCUAAAUUUUUUUUAAUACAUGUAAAAAAAAUACCCAACAAACUAUCAAAUCUAUUUUACUAAUACACACACAAAAGCAUUCAACUUUUACCAAAUAAAUAACAUUAAGACAUGGAACCAGUCCAUGUCAUACUUGUGAGUAUGUUCUUUGUAUUCUAACAACUUUUUCUCUUAACCAAAACCCAUGAACCAAAUGAUUUCUGACCUGCUUCUCUCUCACACAAUUGUGUGUGUGUUCUUGGUGUUCUAACAACUUUCUCUCUCUAAAACCCAUGAACCAAAUGAUUUCUGACAUGCUUCUCACUCGCACACUUGUGUGUGUUUUUGGUCUUGGUGUUCCAAUAAUUUUCCCUCUCUAGAAACUCAUGCAACCAAACGAUUUCAGCCUGCUUCGAUCUUCAGAUCUGGUGGCUUCGAUCUUCAGAUCUGGUGGCUUCAAAAGAAAGGGAUGAGUACAUGAACACAUGGUGUCUUCGAUCUUCAGAUCUUGUAGCUUUGAUGGUGGCUUUGAUGAAAAGAAAUGAGCAGGAGAGUGGUGAAUACGGUGUCAUAAGGAUUCAACCAAGAGUCAAUAAAAUACAAUUGGAGGAAGAAGGCGGCGACUUAUCUACCGGACAAUCAGUGUACGGUUGUUAGUUCGAUCCUUUUCAUGCCGCUUGCAAACGAGCACCAUGUCGAAUCCAUAACCGUUAGAGCAAUGGCUUAGUUUUCAUCCGUGGUUUUAUCCGGAACGCCUAUCGUGUUCGUUAACAUCCAGACUGAACAAAUCCUUUCCACGGAUAAAUGUGAUUCGAAUAAAACUCCAAGACAAGGGAUAAGGUUGUGGUUUUUGCCCGGACUAGCAGAAAUUCCAAUUGAGUUGAUACUAGAGCCAAAAGAAAACAGAUUUGGCAUAGAUGUAAAAAGAACCGAAGAGGGUUUCGUGUGCAUUUACGCGGUGACCAAAGGCUCGGCUGCUGACCGCGCUGGUCUGCGAAAGUUGUUUGAAAACUCGAUUGAGACGGGCCACAUUAUGGUGAUAUCAAGGCUAGAAGGGAAAAGUGUCAUGCCAACAAUGGCUAUGUCUGACGGGUUGAUAGUCUGUUGUGACCACAAUGAUAUUAGAGAAACUCUUGUUGGGGCUGUUGACCAGCUCGAGACCAUACAACUUCAUAUCAUGUCAUGGCCUACACUUCAAAGUGGCUCGAGAACACAACCAGUUGGUGCUGCGACUCUAAGGCCUCCGAUGUGACACAUAUGUACAAUUUAUCAACUCAUUGGUGUUGCAUGUUUUGUAAUUUGAACGAAGUGAUAGCGAAUCAUACUCUUAAAAGUUGAUAGGAGCAUUCUAAACUUCAUAAAUUUUAAAGAAGUAUAC
This is a long non-coding RNA of Helianthus annuus (common sunflower), 1357 nucleotides long. RefSeq lists it as uncharacterized. The record is from RefSeq and is a predicted model, not a curated record. Lineage: Eukaryota; Viridiplantae; Streptophyta; Magnoliopsida; Asterales; Asteraceae. The transcript is spliced from 4 exons.